CUCACCUUCAUUUUACGUCUCAAAUCUUGUGGAAGAUCUGAUCUUAAAACCGUGGCCCUGGUUGGGUUUCGGUUGGACACUGCGGGACCUGAGUGUUAACAGCAGAGUGCCCAGAAAUGGCGGGACUCUGCUUUGUCUCUGAAAGUCGCGGAGGAGUGCAGGGGAGAAGCGCUCAGGGCUGUGCAAGUUGUUCAUUGGUUUAUACAAAAUAGGGUUGCUGGGGAAGGAGCGAGUCUGGAGAAAGGAAACUCCUGAUUACGUUCAGAAAUGCGGAGGGAGAGAAGCGGGCAGUUCGAGGUUAUUCGUGUUGCGGGGGAUGGAGGUGACAGCUCCAGGGGAGGUCUGAGGCACUUCAGCUUUUAGAGAUAGGGAAAAGGGAGAAAGAGGCUGGGAAAGAAUGAGGAGGAGAGGCAGAAGCCCAGGAGGGUGGCUGGAGGAGGCGAGGCAUUGAGGGUGUGGCUAUGGGGCAUAUAUUUUGUAUCUGGAGAGUGGAGUCUCUGCUUUCUGAUCCCCUUGUGAGCCUUGUCCCUCUGCCACACCAUUAUGCCAUGAUGUUCUACCUUACUUCAAGCCCUGAGGAAUGGAGCUAGGGAUCAAACCCAGGGCUUCAAGGUAAGAGCUCUAUCAUGGAGCUAGCCUUCUAUGGACUAAGAUCUCUGAAACCAUGAGUCUUAUCCUCCUCUACAAUUGGGUCCUUUUAGUCCCAGAAGCAAAAAAAAAAAAAAAAAAAAAAAGAACACACACACACAAAACAUUUGGCAGCCCUUCUUGCGCACAGGAUUAAAAAUCCAAACUCUUUAGCAAGACCUUCCAUGAUUCGACCUGUUUUGGAAGCUUGCAGGAGCUCAACACUUUGUGGACAGGAGGAUUUUCUCUUUCCUUGAAUGUUUGUCACAUUUUUGUGUACACAGUGAAGGUGGUCAAGAAACAUCUGGAAGCCUAUCAGGGUAUUUUCCAUAUUCUGUUCAGUUCUUUGUGGCCUGUCUUGGCUUCUCUAUUGGAGAAUAGCUUCUGGAAGGUGGGGGCAGAGGUGGGUCUGGGUGUACCAGUCGGGCCCCCAGCUGCAGUGACAGCUUUCAGUGUUUAGACUUCUGAACAUUCAUGCCCCUGUCAGGUGUGGAUACAGGACCCAGGUUUAGAAAAGUGUUUUAUUAUGAGUGAAGGAUGCACAAGCAAAGUAAGAUGGGUUACUGCCCUCAGGGCCAGGGUCUGAGCCUCUCAGGCUCCUGCCUAGCCCCAGGCGAAUCCUCCAGCCUCCUGUUAAUUUGUGGGAAUCUCCUCUUCUUUCAACACCCCCUCCCCCAGUGCUUUUUGUUAAGGACAAGUAGAGGUGGUGCAUGCCUAUAAUCCCAGCCCCUCAGGAGCCUGGGCAGGAGGAUCACAAGUUCAAGGCUAGCCUCAGCAAAUUAGUGAGGUCCUGUCUCAAAAUAAAAAUGACUGGCCUGGCACGGUGCCACACCCUGUAAUCCCAGUGGUUUGGAAGGCUGACGCAGGAGGAUCGUGAGUUCAAAGCCAGCCUCAGCGCCUCAGCAAGACCCUGGCUCUAAAUAAAAUAUAAAAAGGGCUGGAGAUAUGUUCAGUGGUUAAGCCCCUUUGGUUCAAUCUCUGGUACAAAAAACAAAGAGAGAAUUGCCUCCCAAAGAGUUGCCUGAGUAGGAGAAUUGCAAAAGAAAACAGAAGAGUGAAGGACAGUUGGGAACAUUUUGCUGACAAAGUCAGAAAAAGAAUUUUUGAGCACGUUUGGACAUUGCUUUAUAGCUAAGAGUUGUAAAUGAGCCUCCUUGGUUGAGUGUGGAUGAUUAAAGCUUUACAUGAGUCCACUAUGGAACUCAUGGAACUUUACAUGAGUUUCUUGUUUGAGCAAGAAGGGUUAGUUUUUUUAUUUUAUGAAAUAGAGAAUCCCUAUCCCAUCUGAACAUAUAUUUAACAGGUUUGAAGGGGACCUGAGUUAGUGUCAGCUUCACAGAAGUUAUAAUGUCUCUGUCUUAUUCUGGGAAGGAGUGUGGGUAGUCCAUCUUCAUAUUCCCUGUAGUUCCUGGAAUACUGCUUAAAUUAGACCAACUCUAGAUAGAGCAAAGUGGAGAGAGGGGAAGGGAGGGGGAAUGGGGGUAGGAAGGACAGUGGAAUGAGAGGGACAUUAUUACCCUAAGUACAUGUAUAAAGACAUGAAUGGUGACUCUUCUUUGUGUACAACCAGAGAAAUGAAAAUUUGUGCUCUAUAUGUGUAAUAUGAAUUGUAACUCAUUCUGCUGUCAUACAUAAUAAAUUAAAAUAAAAGUAAAAAAUUAAAAAAGACAAAAAAAAAGAAUACUGCUUAAAAAGAUUGCUUUGUUCAUAUUCUGUGAACACUCCAACCAAUGGACAAAGAUGCCUUUACCAAUUUGGCCACCAGAUGGCAGUAUGUAACCUCUGAUAGAUUGUCCUAAACUCAGGACAGCAGGAUUUUCCUACAGGGGUUGAGUGGGGUGUGUAGAUAAAAGACAAGGGGUAGGGAUGAUGCUUUGACAUGGAGAAUCCUUUGUGGAAUAGGGAAAAACUUUCCAGAAGAAUUUCUUUUAUCACUUAUUUUUCUCAUUGAUUUUUUUCUAGGACAAUAUUCCUGUGCAUUUAUAUUUUUCUCUUCAUCUUUUAUCCACAGUAAUUCUGAAAUAAUACAAGAUUCUAUAGCUUACCUGGUCCAAAUCUUCUCUUUCAAACACCAAGACUUCUAAUUGGUGCAUAAGGAGACAUAUAGGAACACCAACUUUUUUUUUUUCUCCACUUAAGGAACAUCUAUAUUUUUUGAGCACCUACUGUGUGUCAGACAUUUACACAUGAGGCCACUUUUAUUUUUCACAAUGACCCAUAUUAAUGAUAAUGUUAACUCCAUUUUACAAGUGAGAAAUAAAAUAAUUGGUUUCAGAACAAGGUUAUGGCAGAGUCAGGGUCUGAACCUCCAGACCCUUGGCCUCCCUGCUCAUGCACGUAAUAGUGUGCCUCAUCUGAGACACUGUUAACCUUUGAUACUGGAAAAUUCUUUUAUGAAGGGGGUGGUGUGGGCUGUAGGACAUUCAGUAGUGGCCUCCAUCCACUAGAUACCAAUAACAUCCUCUCCUCCCCUGUUGUGACAAGCAGAAAUAUCUUCAUUCAUUGGCAAAUGUUCUCUGGGCUGCCAAACCAUCACCAGGUAAGAACUCCUGAUGUAGAGGAGCUCUGGCUGGACUUCUGCCUAAUGUAGACUGGGGUCAUCUUGGAGCAGGAAGACAGGUUCUUACAGAGAGUCUAUGGAGCCAAGGAGACUUGCCUACCUAUAGCACCUCACUAUUCUACCUCCUAGGGCCUACACAGGCCUGUUGCCUGUUCUCCUGACUGCUGGUAUGUGCAUUUCUACCCCGGAGAGGUGGCCAGGGAGUCUGUUGAGUGAGGUGGGAGGGCAUUGAGCCAGACAGGUGAACUGGUUGUCUGCAUUCAGAUAUGCCUGGAAGAACCCUCUGAUGGAGGAUGUUGAUGGAGGUGGGAGGAGAAGGGAGAUGUGAUAUGGACUAGGGGCCUCACUUGUAUCUUGACUCAGCCUGUAAUAUUAGGGUGGGCCUGCUCUAAAACCCUGCUGCUGGAGUAGUUGGUGGGAAAUGGGUUGUAGGGGACAAUUUUUUUUUGUACUGGAGAUUGAACCCAAAGGGGCUUUACCACUGAGCUACAUUCCCAGUCCUUUUGCUUUUUUGAGACAGGGUCUUGCUAAGUUGCUGAGGGUGUUGCUAAAUUGCUGAGACUGGCUUUGAAUGUGCAAUCCUCUAGUCUCAGCCUCCUAAAUUGCUGGGAUUACCGGCAUGUGCCACCAAUGUUGGGUAAUACUAUUUUGGGGGGGUGGGAGUACUGGGGAUUGAACUCAGGUGGACUCAACCACUGAGCCCUAUCCCCAGCCAUAUUUUGUAUUUUAUUUAGAGACAGGAUCUCACUGAAUUGCUGAGGCUGGCUUUGAACUUGUGAUCCUCCUGCCUCAGCUUCCUGAUCUAUUGGGAUUACAGGCACAUGCCACCACUCGGGUUGGUAAUUUGUUUUUGACACAUCAGUGUGAAGACCUCAGAAUCAUCAUAUUUCCAACACAGAAAGGCUCUUUGGGUCUCACGCUUUCUCCUGAACCACAUUCCUGAAUAGAAAAUUUCACUGCAUUUAUUUCUUACUUGGGGGUCAUUUCCCACAAAGAACAGUUGUCAUUUUUCUCCUGGAAAAGUAGAAAGGAGUCAAACCAGUAAAGGUUCCUGAGAAGUGGCACUCUGCCAGGCUCUCUCCAGCUGAGGGAUCUUCCCCCCAGCAGCCUCCUGGUGGAGGAGUGCUCAAAACAACGAAUUUCAUCCUCCCCCAAAUGGAAAAACUCAAGGAAUUCACAUUGAAAUGACCUUCAGGUAUACUUGCUCACAAGCUAUACAGAUGUGGAAAUGUUUAACUCAUUUGGAAUUACUUUAAGUUCAAAGUCUAUCUGCAUCUCCAUUAAGGGAUAUGUAUAAUUUUGCUUUCAAUUUUUUGAACAUUACACCCAUAUGCUGGAAACCAAGGCAACGAUUGCAACCAGUGGCAAAUGUAAAAAGACAAGCCAGAUUAAUUUCUUCAUUUAUUCAUAUGAUAACCGUAUUCUGAGCACAUAGUUAUGUGUUGGUGUCAGGUUAAGCAUUAGAUAAUAAAAACAUAUGCUUUGACUUGUAAAGAUCUACAUCAUGGAAUAUAAAGUUAAAAAAAAAAAAAAGCUCACAGCGUAUUUUACAAGUACACAUAUGCUAUCAUAUAUUUGUAUAAAUGUUGUUGGGAUUCACUGUGCACCAAAUAUUAUUCAAAAGCACUCAUAUAUGAUGAUUGGAUUUAAUCCUCACAUUUAUGAGGUAUUAAUAUUCUCCCCAUUUUGUAAAAGAGAAUGUAGACUUAGGGAGGGUAAAUCACAUAGUCAAGGUCAUGCACGUGACCUGAACCUUCAGAGUUGGAAUUGACUCUGAUUACAGAAUAUGCUUUUCCAAAAAUGUGUCCACAUGUAAGACAGUACAUUGAGACUGUUGAAAGAAGUUGUCUGUGCUGUUUAGAAUUAUGGCAAGAGGGGUUGGGGAUGUGGCUCAAGCGGUAGCGUGCUCGCCUGGCAUGCGUGCUCGCCUGGCAUGCGUGCUCGCCUGGCAUGCGUGCGGCCCGGGUUUGAUCCUCAGCACCACAUACAAACAAAGAUGUUGUGUCCGCCGAAAACUAAAAAAAUAAAUAAAUUUAAAAAAAAUUAUGGCAAGAUGCAGAGAUUAUAUUCUGUAUUUUCCAUGUUUUUAAAUGCAUUUAGAGUAUAUUUGUCAAGUUCCAAAAAAAUUGAGAAUUUGAUUAUGCAGCAUUUAAUUUAUAGAAUACUCUGGGUACAAUUAUCACCUGCAUAAUAUGUAUAAUUCCAACCUAGGAAUAUGGCAGAUAUUUCCACAUAUAUUCAAGUUAUUCUGCCCUGCCCCUAAAUUGUCAUGGUUUAAAAUUGUUUUAAUGCACAGAUCGCACACAUUUCUUCUUAAGUUAAUUGUAGAUAUUUCAUAGUUUUGUUGCUGCUUCAAAAUGGAUCCCCUAACCCAUUUCCUCUCCUAAUUGGAAAUUGCUAUGGUAUGCCAAGGUAAUUGAUUUGAGGUAUUAAUUUUCUACUCAGGCAUUGAAGUGAACCACUUUUUUUUUUUUUAGGUGAAAUUCUUAUAGCACAAAAUUAACCACUUUAAAAUGAACAGUUCUUUGUGAAUUUAGUUCAGGCACAAUGUUGUACAACCACCAUCUCUGUCUAGUUCUAAAACAUUUAAUCACCCUAAAAUAAAACUCCAUGCUCACGAAGCUAUUAUUCUACACAAAUCAUUGUAUUUUUCUAAAGUGAUGCUUUAGAAAUGGGGCUAUGUAACCCAUGCAUGUCAUUGUGUCAUGUGGCAUUGGAGGUGGUUGUGAUGAUGCUAUGAUGCGGCAAGCUAUAGAUUUCCUUGUCUCCUACAUUGUCCCAUGCCCAUCUCUACUUUUCUCUCAUAAUCUUGUAUUGUUGUUGGAGAAACAAGUUUUUUGCCCUGUAAGUUUCCUGCUUUUUGCUGAUUUCAUAUCUGUGUUGUUAUUUAACCUGUUCCUCUAUUUCUAUGUUUCUUUUAAAUCGAAUCUUGGAUGUUAGCUUGAAGUCAGAUCCAUUCCAGAGAUUUUUGUUUCUUCUGAUUGUUUUUUAUUUUGCAAACAGGUUUGCAUGCCUGUAAUCCCAGCUUGGGAGGCUAAGGCAGGAGGAUGGGAAGUUCAAAGCCAGCCUCAGCAACUUAGCAAGGCCUAAGCAACUCAAGUACCUGUCUCAAAAUAAAAACAAUUAAAAGGGUUAGGGAUGUGGCUCAGUGGUUAAGUGCCUGUGGGUUCAAGUCCUGGUACCACAAUAAAUAAAUAAAUAAAUACUGGGAAACCCCAUAAAUGAGGGAUUUUCCAAUAUGGAGCCUCACUCAGAUUGUAAUUAGCCCUUCCCAUUUCCAAGAGAAAGCUGAGGGUUUGCCCCACCUGCUUCCUGGGAUACUUGCCCCUUUUCCCUUUGGGAUGAACUCCUAAUAAUCCUGGGGGCUUAAAAAAAAAAAAGCCCUGGAUGUAUGUUUUAGUCUGAGGCAGGGGAAUGAAAUGACUCUAGGGUUUCUGCAAAUCUUAGACACAUCACUACCCUACCCUCAGCUUACUUGGAAUAAACAGUUCAAACAAUUCACACCAAAAUGACCCUGAGCCCUCUUUUGGCCUGUCACAAGCCUGGGUCUUGCUGCCAAGGAUAAUUGGUGCUUCCGCACGGCUGGAGCAGAGCUACGUGCUGCCAGGGCUGGCCAAGAAGCCUGGGGGCUUGGAGGAGGCAGAGGCGUGGUGGUGGGGGCAAGCAGGCCUGGAAUAUCGUUUGGUUUGCCAUGGUCAACACUCAGGGACCAACAUUUGCAUAAGAUCUGCAUAUUAUUCAUAUAAACUAAAAUUUAUUCUUAAAUUUCCCACAUUAAAAAAUUAUAUUUAGGGCUGGGGAUGUGGCUCAAGCGGUAGUGCGCUCGCCUGGCGUGCGUGCGGCCCGGGUUCGAGCCUCAGCACCACGUACAAACAAAGAUGUUGUGUCCGCCGAGAACUAAAAAAUAAAUAUUAAAAAAUUCUCUCUCCCACUCUCUCUUUUAAAAAAAUUAUAUUUAAUGAUACAAGAAACGCAUGAAAAUCUGCCCAGUCUUUUUUUUUCUUAAUAUUUUUCCAGUUGUAGAUGGACACAAUACCUCUAUUUUAUUUGUUUAUUUUUAUGUGCCGGGGAUCAAACCCAGUGCCUCAAACGUGCUAGGCAAGCGCUCUGCCACUGAGCCACAAUCCUGGCCCCUGCCUAGUCUUUUUGCUGCUAUUGUAAAUCUGCUUUUUUUUUUUUUUCUCAUUUUCUAUUUGUCUGUCUCCAGGUCCAAGGUUGUUUCAUGUGUGUGCGUGCAUGCAUGUGUGCGUGUGUGUGUGUGUGUGUGUGUUGAUGUUGAUUUGGUUGCCAUGCUGCAUGCCCUGUGUGAAUUUAAGUUGAAAUUUCUGAAAAGCUGAAUGUGGUAACUAAAUUAAGUAUUCAACGAUUUGCCAAAGUCGUGAGUAAAUAUGAAUAUGGAGAGCAACAUUUUGUCAUAGAAAAUAGAAUCUCACCAAGGUUUAAAGCUGAAUCAAGCACCAGGAAGCUGCCAUAUGGGCAAAGUAGUCACAAAAAUGUGGAACUUGAACCCAGGAUUAGAUAUAUACAAACAGAUCUCAGGCAUAUAUGGCAACUCAUUUUCAUAUGUUAUAGGUAGGGCCUGGCCUAUACCUUUGAUCAUGAUUUUAAAUAAAACUGGUUAAUAAUUAUUCCAUUUUGUAGGAGUGUGCUUGUCAGAGAUGUUGGCAGAUCAACACUGCCCCUGCUCUCACUUUGUCUCUUUCUGUUUAAAUUUCACAAAGUGAAAAAAUUUGAGACAUAUACAAAAACAGAAAAAAGUUCAUUAAAAUUGAUGAACCCCCACUCAACUUCAACAGCCAUUGAUAACCAACUUUGUUUCAUCUCCACCUCAUCUACUUUCCCUUUCCCCUUAUUUUCAAGUAAACUUAAGUCAUUAUAUUAUUUCAUGUAUAAAUAUUCUCUUAUGGAUCUCUAAAAGUUAAGGACUAACAAAAAUAACCCAGUACCACUUUCACAUCUAAAUAACUUUACUACACCUUAAUUAUCAGUGCACACACUUCCCUGAUUGUCUUAUAAUUUUUUCAGGUUUGGCCAGGCACGAUGGUACAUGCCUAUAAUCCCAGCAGCUCAGGAGGAUGAGGCAGGAGGAUCAAAAGUUCAAAGCCAGGCUCAGCAACUCAACGAGGCCCUAAGCAACUCAGCUAAAAUAUGUCUCAACUAAAAUAUAAAAAAGGGCUGGGGAUGUGGCUUGGUGGUUAAGCGCCCUGGAUUCAAUCCUUGGUUAAAAAAAAAAAUGUUCUGGUUUGUUUGAAACAGGUUACAGAAGCCCAUACAUUGCAAUUGGUUGAUAUGGUUUUUAUUUUCUAUUAAUCUGUAGGUACCAUAUCCAUCUCUAUUUUUCUCUCAUAAUCUUAUAUUGUUGUUGGAGAAACUAGUUCUUUUCUCUGUAAGUUUCCUACUAUUCGAUGAUUUCAUAUCUGUAUUUUUUUUAAUUUGCUUUUAUUUUUAAAAUACAUGACAGUGGAAUGCAUCACAAUUCUUAUCACACAUAUGGAACAUAAUUUUUCAUAUCUCUGUAUAUAAAGUAUGUUCACAAUUUAUGUCUUCAUACAUGUACUUUGGAUAAUGAUGUCCAUCACAUUCCACCAUCAUGUGUUGUUGUUUAACUUGUUCCUCUAUUCCCAUGUUUCUUUUAAAUGGGGUCUUGGAUGUUAGCUUGAAGUCAGAUCCAUUCCAGAGAUUUUUGUUUCUCCUGGCUAUUUUUGGUUUUGCAAGAUUAUCUUUUUUUUUUUUUUUUUGGUACUAGGGAUUGAACUCAGGGGCACUCAACCACUAAGCCACAUCCCCAACCCUAUCUUGUAUUUCAUUUAGAGACAGGGUCUUACUGAGUUGCUUAGCUCCUCGCCGUUGCUGAAGCUGGUUUUGAACUUGUGAUCCUGCUGCCUCAACUUCCUGAACUGCUUGGAUUACAGGCGUACACCACCUCACCCAGCUAUUUUGCUGUUCUUUCUAGCUGAAUAAAACUCCAUUGUGUAUAUUUAUCACAUUUUCUUUAUCCUUUCAUAUGUUGGUGGACAACCAGACUGGUUUCAUAACUUGGCUAUUGUGAAUUGCCCUGCUAUGAACAUUGAUAUGCGUAUAUCCCUGCAGUGUGAUGAUUUUAGGUUUUUUGAACAAAUACCAAGGAGUGGAAUAUCUGGGUCAUACAGUGGUUCCAUUCCUGGUCUUUUGAGGAAACUCCAUGCUGAUUUUCAUAGUGGCUGUACCAAUUUGUACUCCCAUCACCAAUGUGUAAGUGUACAUUUUCCCUCAUAUUCUUGCCAGCAUUUAUUACUUUUAUUUCUUAUGAUUACCAUUUUAACUGGAGUGAGAUAAAAUCUCAGUAUAGUUUUGAUUUGUAGUUCCCUGAUUGCUAAGGAUGUUGAACAUUUUUUUCAUAUAGUUAUUAGCCAUUUGUAAUUCUUCUUUUGAGAAAUAUCUGUUUUAUUUAUUUGCUCAUUUAUCAAUUGAGAUAUUAUUUUUUUGGUGUUAAGUUUUUUGAGUUCUUUAUAUAUUUGGAUGUUAAUCCCCUGUUAGAAGAGUAGCUGGUAAGAUUUUCUCCUAUUCUUUAGACUCUCUUUUCACAGUCUUGUUUUUACUCCUUAAUUGUUUCCUUUGCUGAAAAUGGGUAAUGAUUUUAAAAGGUGUUAUGAUUUAUCCUUCCAUUAAAAACAUGUAAAUAGGGCUGGGGAUGUGGCUCAAGCUGUAGCUCGAUCGCCUGGCAUGCGUGCAGCCCCAGUUCGAUUCUCAGCACUACAUACAAAGAUGUUGUGUCCGCCGGAAACUAAAAAAAAAAAAAAAAGUAAAUAUAUAUAUUUACAUCCUACUCUUUUCUGAAAGCAUAGUAAGCAUUCCUCAAUCCUCUUUUUUCUCCAUUUACACCACAUUCUAGAGAUCACUACAUCUUAUAUAGAUAUUUUGAUCCCUUUUUAUAGCUGUAAAGUAUUUACCAUGUGGGUAUCACAUGGUUUAUACAAGCAGUCCCUUAUUGAUGCAUGUUCCUUCCUCUCAUUUUUUGUCAUUAUAAGCAGUGUUGCAAACAAACGAUUUGUGCAUGUCUUUUCAUAUUUUUGCCAGCCCAUCUUUGAGAUAAAUUUCUGGGUGGAUUAUUGAUGAGUUAAAUGGUUAAGUGGCUUUUUAUUAAAUAUUGCCCUCUUUCCCUCCAUAGGGACUGCACCAUUUUUAUUUUCCACUAGUAUUUGAUGUCAAUGCUCAUUUCCCCACAGCUUCACCAACAGAAUAGGUUGUGUGGCAGAAUAGAAUUUUCAAAGGUGUCUGCAACAAUAUCCCACAUCCCAUAAAUUCUUUUCUAGAACCCACUUUUUCAUGAAGAUGUGAAGUCUCUCUUUCUCUUGAAACUGGGUAGGCCUUUUAAUUUCCUUGACCAAGAGAGCAGGGUGGAAGUGAUGCUACAUGACUUCUGAGACUGAGUCAUAAAAAUGCCAUGAACUUCUGCCUUGUUCUCUUGGGAAGCUGUCCUUGGAACCCGGUUACCAUUCUCAGAGGAAACCCACGCAACCCAUGGAAAGGUCCACGUAGAGCAUAAUCAAGGUCUCUGACCUGCUUCCUCAGCAAGCAUCACUUGCUAGCCAUGUGAGUGAGCCAUCUUAAAAGUGGAUUCUUUAGCUCCCAGGGGAACAGUCAUACCUGAGGCCACAUACAGUAGAGAAGAGCCAUCAGCCUGCAGAACCCUGACAAAUCAAUAAUUGUUGCUGUAAGCCACUGAAUCUAGGGGUUAUUUGUUACACAGCAAAUAAAUAACGGAUGUAGAUGUUACACUUUGGCUUCUUCCCACAAUGACAGGUGAGAAGUGUUAUCCCUGUGUGCUGUCAACUUGCAUUUCUCAUUUUGAGCAGGGCUGUACAUGUUUUCAAGUGGUGAGGAGCCAUUUGCUUUUCUUUUUAUAUUUUGUUUAUACUUCUAGCCUAUUUUUCUAUCUUGCUGUUGGCAUUUUUUAUUUUUAAAAGAUCUUUACAUUUUAGAAAUUUUUUAACCCAUCAUGAUAUCAAUUUGAAAUGUUUUUCUCAGUUUAUCAUUUUUCUUUUCACUUUGCUUAUUCUUUUAUAUAUAUUCUCCAUUUUCCCCAUUCUGUGAUAGUGGUAUUAUUAAUAGUUUUUCAUUUAAAAAUUCUUAACCAUCCAAGACAAAGAUUCAGAGAUCUGAAUCUGUUUUUUUUUCUUUUCAUUUUUUUAAAUUUGUUCUAAUUAGUUAUCUAUGACAGCAGAAUGCAUUUUGAUUCAUUGUACACAAAUGGAGCACAACUUUUCAUUUCUCUGGUUGUACAUGAUGUAGAGUCACGCCACAUGUGCAGUCAUACAUGUGCCUAAGGUAAUGAUGCUCAUCUCAUACCCCCAUCUUUUCUACCCCUCCCCCCGUACCCUCUCCUCUUCACUCCCUCCCCUUUGCCCAAUCAAAAUUUCUCCAUUUUCCCCCCGCCCAUUAUGGAUCAGCAUCCACUUAUCAGAGAGAACAUUUGGCCUUUGUUUUUUGGGGACUGGCUUCCUUCACUUAGUAUGAUAUUCUCCAGCUCCAUUCAUUUACCCACAAAUGCCAUAAUUUUAUUCUUUUUUAAUGCUGAAUAAUAUUCCAUUGUGUAUAUGUACCACAGUUUUUUUUUUAUCCAUUCAUGUGUUGAAGGGUAUCUAGGUUGGUUCCAGAGUUUAGCUAUUGUGAAUUGAGCUGCUAUGAACAUUGAUGUGGCUGUGUUGCUAUAGUAUGCUGAUUUUAAGUCCUUUGGGUAUAGACCAAGGAGUGGGAUAGCUGGGUCAAAUGGUGGUUCCAUUCCAAGUUUUCUAAGGAAUUUCCAUACUGCUUUCCAUAGUGGUUGCACCAAUCUGCAGUGUCAUCAGCAGUAUAUGAGUGUACCUUUUUCUCCACAUUAUUGCCAGCACUUGUUAUUGCUUGUAUUCUUGAUAAUUGACAUUCUGACUGGAGAUGAAAUCUUAGAGUAGUUUUGAUUUGCAUUUUAACAUUUUUUCAUAUAUUUCAUAUAUUGAUCAGCACCCAAAUAGACAUGUAGACCAAUGGUACAGAAUAGGAGACACAAAGACAAACCCACAUAAAUACAGUUGUCUCACACUAGACAAAGGCACCAUAAACAUGCAUUGGAGAAAAGAUAGCCUUUUCAACAAAUGGUGCUGAGAAAACUAGAAAUCCAUAUGCAGCAAAAUGAAAUUAAACUACUCUUUUCACCAUGCACAAAACUCAACUCAAAGUGGAUCAAGGACCCAGGAAUUAGAUUAGAGACCUUGCACCAAACAGAAGAAGAAGUAGGCCCAGGUCUUCAUCAUGUUGGAUUAGGUCCUGAAUUCCUUAACCAGAUUCCUAAAGUUCAAGAUAUAGAAUCAAGAAUUAAUAAAUGGCAUGGUUUCAAACUAAAAAGCUUCUUCUUAGCAAAGGAAACAAUCAGUAAUGUGAAGAGAGUGCCCAGAGAGUGGGAUAACAUCUUUACUACAUGCACAUAGGUAGAGCACUGAUCUCCAUGAUAUAAUAAAGGACUCAAAAAAAUAAAUAACUAAAAUAAUAAAUGGGCUAAGGAAGUGAACACUUUUUAGAAGAAGAUAUACAAUUGGUCAACAAAUAUAUGAAUCUCUUAUUUUUUGUGUCUAUUGCACGUUUUUAUAUUGCUUUGUUAGACAAUCUAAAAAUCUUUUAAUAGGUAAGUUGUGAAUAUUUAUACUACUGACAUGGUAAGUCUGUUUGGCUCAGCUCUGCUUUAUUAUGAUAUAUGUAAUUUAUCUCUAUUAUAUGAUUACAUAACUUUUACUAUGUAGACUUUUUCAUUCUCUUAUAUACAUCUUUUUUUAUUUAGGAAGCUUUUUUGUCCUAAAAGUUAUCUUUAUAUUCAUACUUUCAUAUAAUUCCCCUAGUCCCUGAUUCUCUCUCUUUUUGGAAGUGGCCGGUUAUUUUUGGUGUCAUAAUAUGAUUAAUAUUUAAAUUAGGUAGUAACUUCUCUUCCUUGUCUUUUCCUUUUCCACCUGCAUUAGAAGUAAUACUCUCGGGCUGGGGAUGUGGCUCAAGCGGUAGCGUGCUCGCCUGGCAUGCGUGCGGCCCGGAUUCGAUCCUCAGCACCACAUACAAACAAAGAUGUUGUGUACGCCAAAAACUAAAAAAUAAAUAUUAAAAAAAAGUAAUACUCUCUUACACUCAGAUCUACUUAGAAGGCAAUCAGCAAGCUUAUUCUUUUUAUCUACACUCCAUUUUUCCUCUUGUGUGAUAAUUGUAUUAUUUACAUUGCCAGAGCAUAUGAUCAUCAAAAGCUAUCCUACCUCACAAACAUCAUUUGGUCAUAAGUUUACAGAUAUUUUUAAUAUCUACUGCCAGUGCUUAUGUAACUUUCCAGUUAUUUUGAAACUAAUUUUCUAGUGGAUUCUUUUGGAAACAAUUACACCAAACAUAAUCCUAAAUUCUUGUAUUUAAGUUUUUCAGUGGUUGGGCUGGGAAUGUGGCUCAAGCGGUAGCGCGCUCCUCUGGCAUGCUUUCGGCCCAGGUUCGAUCCUCAGCACCACAUACAAACAAAGAUGUUGUGUCUGCCGAAAACUAAAAAAUAAAUAUUAAAAUUCUCUCUCUCUCUUUAAAAAAAAAAAGUUUUUCAGUGGUAGAGUGCUUGUCUGGUUUGCUGGUGGCCUUUCUACUUGAAGGUCAGUUUGGCUGGAUAUAAAAUCCAUAGCUCAUAGUUCUUUUCUUGAUUAUCUUAAAUAUAUUAUUCUGUUGUGUUUUGGCAUAAAACAACAUUGCUGUCAAAAAGUCUGGUGACAAUCUCAUUUUCUUUCCCUUAAAAGGGAUUUGGGCCUGGUGCAGUGGCUAAUUUGUUGGUUCCAGAUAGUUUUCUUUAUAACAUUUUUCUAGCAAACAACAAAGAAAUGGAUGAAUGAAUAUAUUAAGCAAUGAUCACUAAUGGCUGACAAUAUCACACACACAAAAGAAAUAAACAGGUAUAAGAUAGUCUUGCAAAACAAAAACAACCAAGAGAAACAAAAAUCUGUGGAAUGAAUCUGACUUCAAAUAACAUCCAAGAUUCAAUUUAAAAGAAACACACGGGGAGCCAGGUGUGGUGGCUCACUUCUUUAAUUCCAGCAGCUUGGGAGGCUGAAGCAGAAGGAUCCAUGAACUCAAAGCCAGCCUCAGCCACUUAAUGAGACCCUGUCUCAAAAGAAAACAUAAAAUGGGCUGGGGAUGUGGCUAAGUGGUUAAGUGCCCCUGGGUUUAAUCCCUGGUAUUUAACAAAAAAAAAAAGUGAUAUUUGGCCUUUUUGCUUGGAUAUUCAAACUAUCACUUUUUGUUGAUAUAUAUAUAUAUAUAUAUAUAUAUAUAUAUAUAUAUAUAUAUAUAUAUAUAAAAACAUAGAUAUCUCUCUAUAUAUAUCUCUCUAUAUAUAUCUCUCUCUAUAUAUAUUCCCAUUCCUCCCCCAAGUGAACUGAGGAAUUUUGGAGAGGGGGCUGAGUGGAGAGCUUCUAAGCUCUAGAGCUCCCUCUUCUGUUCUUUUUACAGAGUGACAAAAAAUAUGUAUGGUCUGUAUUUUCUGGGACUUGUUUUCUCUGCUCCAUUCCCCUACUUUUCUAUCCUUUGCUCCUGUUAUCGACUCUUGCUCUAUUUGGAUACAAUUUCCAGCAUUUUCUCUUCAGGGCUUUUUCUGGGAAGGAGCUUAGGCUUGUCAGUUCUGAGAGUUUAUAGAGCCCAGGCUGCUCCAGCACUGCAUGGUGCUCCCCUCAAUCGGACCCAUGAAUUGGAGGCUGCAGAAGCCCCUGUUCAGUUUCAACUAUUCUUCUUCGAUUGCCUUGCUGAAUUUUCCAGUGAAUUCUGGAGUGCUCCUUCCUUUUGUUCCUGCUGAAACCUGUGCCCGGUAAGUCUUGUGCUACUGAAGCUUUGUUCCCAUGCACAUGUACUUAUUGGCUUAUGGGGAUACUUUGUCACCUACUAUUGUAAUAUUGUCUCUGGGCCCUUCCUUUGGUCACCUCUGUUGUUCCAUCUAUGUUUAAGGAAGGUUAGGGAGAGCAAAAACUAUCCAUCAUCUUCCUGUAUCCAGUCUCUCAUCCCUACCUUUUAAUAAUAAAUUUUACUUGUUAAGACCGAUUUAUAGGAAAAUUGCAAAGAUGGUGCAUCGAGUUCCUGUCUAUUUGGUAUCCAGGUUUCUCUACUGUUCACAAAAUACAUUGGUAUGUACAUUUGGUAUAAUUGUUAGAAGAAAAACUUAGAGGAAAUUAAAUCCAACAGAGGUUAUUUGAACAAAGAAUCAUUCUUGAUGGCAGCACUCAGAAGCAGAAAGGGUUCAGAGAAUUCUGCCCUGAAAUGUGGGCAGGCUCAUUUUCAACAGAAGAUGUAGGUGAGGCUUGAUUGGUUGCAGCCCACGUUUGCCUAAUUUAGACUUGGUCUUAUUAGUUGGGCAGCCCCUGAUUGACUGAAGCUCUGCUGCUCUGACUGGCUGCCACCCAGCUAGUUGUUACAAAAAAUAUAUUCUUCAGUCAGGCUUUCUGUUUGCUUACUCAGGCUGCAGAUUGUUAUGUAGGAUCAAGUGUUCUCAGGCAGCCUCAGGCCAAAUUUAGCUUAAUUUAAAAUUACUAAUGAACCAAUAUUGAUACAUUAUACUUAACUUUAUUGGGGUUUCUUAGUUGUCACCUAAUGCUCUUUUCUGUUCCAGGAUGCCAGCCAGAUUUUAUAUUCCAGUUAGUCAUUGUGUCUUCUUAGGCUUCUUGGCUUUGACAGUUCCUCAGACUUUCCUUGAUUUUGAUGACCUUGAGUUUAGAGGAGUACUAUUCAGGUGUUUUGUAGAAUGUUCCUCAAUUGGGAUUUGUCUGAUUUUUUUUAAAAAAAAUAUUUUUAGUUGUAAAGGACACAAUACUUUUGUUUUAUUUAUAUAUUUUUAUGUGGUGCUGAGGAUCAAACCCAGUGCCUGACAUGUGCUAAGCAAGUGCUCCACCACUGAGCCACAAGCCCAGCCCCGGUCUGAUCUUUUUCUCAUCAUUUGAUAGAGGCUGUGGUUUACGAUGUAAAGGGCCAUUCUCAUCACAUUUAAUCAAGGGUAAAUAUUGGGUUUUGUUUUUAAAUAAUUUUUAGUUGUAGAGGGACACACAACAUCUAUGUUUUAUUUAUUUAUUCUUAUGCAGUGCUGAGGAUCAAACCCAGAGCCUCACUUGUGCUAGGCGAGCGCUCCACUACUGAACCAGAGCCCCAGCCCUAGGGUAGAUAUUGUUAACAUGACUUAUCACUGUUGAUGUUGAACUUGAUUGAUCACCUGGCAAGUGUAGCAUUUGUCAGGUUUCUUAACUAACUGUUUAGCCUCCUCCUUUCCAUACAGUCCUCUUUGGAAGGAGUCACACUGUAUAGCCUACAUCUAAGGAGUGAAAGUUAUGUUCUACCUUUUUUUUUUUGAACCCAGGAGCCCUUAACCACUGAGUCUCAUCCCCAGCUCUUUUAGUUUUUACUUUGAAUCAGGGUUUUACUAAGUUGUUUGGGACCUUACUAAGUUGCUGAAGCUGGCCUCUAACUUGUGAUCCUCCUGCCUCAGCCUCCUGAGCAGCUGGGAUUACAGACUGUGCCAUUGCACCUGACAUGCUCCACUGCACUUGACAUGCUCCACUUUCCUGAGGACAGAAUAUUUACAUAAAUUAUUUGAUAUUCUCUUGCAUGGGAGAUCUGUCUCUUCUUUCUUAUUUAUCUCAUCACUUAUCAAGAUAGAGUCCUGGAUAUUUAUUUUCUUCUGGGUUAAUCCAGUACUACUUUAUUUUGUUGAUCAAAUUGUUCCAGAUGGGGACAUUGGGAGCUCAUUUAGUUGGUUCCUGUGUUCCUUUGGUAUACUGCACCACUGUGUGUCUGUGUCUGUGUGAACAGCUCUCCUUAACCUUGUAGCACCAUAAGAUGCUUCAGCCUCAUCAUUUCUAUUUCCUGCCUGAGUCUUAGAAUCAGCCAUUUCCCAAAGAUCCCUGGUUCCUUCUGCUGGAGAAUGGUAUUAGAAACCAAGAGCUGGAUGCGAGGUGGACUCUCCCUCUCUUUUUACCCAGAUGAUGACCUAGUUUUCUGGGUCUCCCCACUCUCUCAGGGUACCAUUUCCUGUUUCUCUUCCUGCCUGGAUCCCAUAGCCAAGCAUUUUCGUUUCCUUCUCGCCAGCGCCCUCCACUCUGCCAUCCUUGACCACGCCGUGCACUUGCUCACCAGUUCACAAUCUUGGAUCACCUUGACUUUUUUCCUGCCCAGAGGUUGCCAGGUACUGAGAGGCCUGUUGAGCUCUCAAUAUGGCUUGGCAAACAUCCUUCUCUGGACAGCUGAUCUGCGCCACCGCCUUAUGCUCACUGACUUCCCAUGCUCUCAGCAAGAGCCAAGGCCUCCCACUUCACCAAGAAAUUAGAGACUAGGAGGAACUCAGUCCCUAAAUUUCUCUCCCUCCAAUUCCACACUUAGCACUUGUACCCACGUCCCUUUCCUCGUUUUCUCCCUUCCUGUCUUUCUCUCUCAUCUCUGAGAGCUUCUUUUUUUCCUGCCUUUCCUUCAGGCCAAUCUCCUCAUGAGCUCCAAUCACCCUGGGAAAGGUUUCUGUCUCCUCUGAUCUUCUCUAGAACUCUGUUCCAUCAGUUGUCUGGUUUUGCAUGUCUUCAAAUUCCUCUUCAUCACUGCUGCUUUUUCUCCACCGAUGAACCACGUAAGUUUCUCAUCCUAAACACAAGCACAAGUCCAAACCUUUGACGUGACCAGGUUGUUAGAUUUUCCCUUCUUUUCUCACACAUUUGGCAAUGCCUCCUUUCCUUUUUUGCCCAUAAUCGUGUUUCUGCCACUUUAUACCAAAAUUCUUCCCUCAAAAAAUCACCAAAUCCCAUGGUCUCUUUGUCACCACGGUCCUAUUUGAUCUCUCUCAGGACACCAUUUCCCCUUAUGUUCUCUCCUCCCCUCUUGGCAUUUUCCUCCCUCCCUGGGCUUCAGGGAUGAAGGUUCCACUCUGGACUCUGCUUUUCCCUCUCCCACCGUUUUGUCUUGGCUCCUUUCCAUCAGGGCUGCCAGGUUUAAACCAAGGGGUGGUCCCAUCCCUGGCUGGGCACUGGAAUCACCUGUGGGGCUUUAAGAACAGGCUGGACCCAGGUCCAUUCCUAGAUCAUACCCUCCAUAUAUGCUAUCCAGGUAUCUCUGUUUAUCAAAGCUCCGAGGAAGCUCUGGGAAGCAGAGGUGAAGACACUGACCUCUAUAUUAAGGAUUCCCCAGGGGACCUCUCCACUCAGGCCUCUCUUCUGAGCUCCAAAUGAACAUUUCCAUCUACUCACCAGAAGCUGCAUAGGAAGCUCAGAUCAACAGGUCAGAAAUGGAAUCACCGUCUGCCUCUCAGGGAGACAGAACACUCACCCUCAGCUUCAACUCCCCAUUUUUUCCCAGUUGCAUAUGGGUUUGGUGAGGACAGCUGCUAUCUCAAACGCUUCUCCUCCUCCCCAUCCCUACCACUUCUUUAGUUCUGCUUCUCACCCUGUGGCAUCUGAACAGCACCAUUGGGUUCCUAAUUGUUCUGAUGCUUUCCAGCUUCUCCCACUCCUUUCAUCCAAGCUUCUUUGAUUUUCUUUCUAGAAUGUAAAUCUUGUAACUUCUUCCCUUGUGAAAAUCCUAGGGUGGCCAUCCAACACCUUCCUGGCUGUGCUUCUCAAAUGGGUUCUUCAGGCCUGUUACUGGAACCACCCGCAAUGCCUGUUAAAAUGCAUGUUCCUAGGUCACACACCUGUAAUUCCAGCAGUUCGGGAGGCUGAAGCAGGAGCAUCACAAGCUCGAGGUCAGCCUCAGCAACUUAGCAAGGCCCUCAGCAAGGAAGCAAGACCCUGCCUCAAAAAAAGAAAGAGGGCUGGGGUGUGGCUCAGUGGUGAGGUGCCCCUAGUGCCCCCCGCCCCCCCCCAAAAGAAGUCGGGGUUUGGGGGCAGAGUUAGAAUCAGGCCCAGGUCUGUCUUUCCUUGGGGUCUGUACUCCUAACUGCUGUGCCAUAGUGCCUUGAGGGACUGGUGAUCCAGUUAGCAAGGCCCUGUACAGCCUCUUAUUUCUCGGGCCAGCACUGGCCCCUCCCUCUGGAGCCCUCUCACCACGGGGUCACACAUCCCCUUUCAUCCUCCACUUCAAAUGGAGGAUGCCUACUUUUCCUCCCUGUCCAGAGGCCAGGCCAUUUCCCCCUUGCCCACCUCCUCCCACCAGGGCUGCAAAGGGGCCUAGUGAUGAAUGGGACGGGAAAGCGGAAGGAAGAGCGGGAGGGGAGGGAGGGGAGGGAGGGGGAGGAGGGGGCAGAAGCCAGGCUCAGUGGGAUGGAGGGCGAGCAGAGGGCCAGAGCCACAAACCUUAAUUUAAUCACAGGGCCCCAUGCUCAAUUUAACAGACACAAGGGCUCAGAAUGGGGUCCCUGUGUGGCGGUGGGGCAAUCAGCCCGCUGCAGUUCCUGGGAAAGCAUUAAUUGCGGAUGACAAUGUGUAAACAGUGGGGAAGAAUGGAGUGUGCAGGUGUGAGCUGCUGGGGCCAACCCCGGGGCUGUUUUCACACAAGUGAGCCAGGGAGGGCUCCUCCACUCCAGAACAGGAUUAGAGGCAGCAAUUGGGGAACUGUCAAGGGUGUCUGAGCUUGGCUAGAGCAAGUGACCAGGAGGGCAGCCUGGGAGAGGAGGAGGGACUGGCAGGGUAGCAGGUUGGGGAGUGAACUGGUGUGUGUGUGUGUGUGUGUGUGUGUGUGUGUGUGUGUGGUGAGCUGCCCACAUCUGGCUUAACCCCCUGCCAAGCCAAUGGCUCUCUAAAACACAAGGCUGGAUUUUUAAUGACACUGGGUUGUCAGGGCCCUUGCAGCACAGGGCAGAGUGUGGGCCUUCCAUCCGCAUAGGCAAAGCAGGCCAGCUGUCAGGGAAACUGCAGGCAGCUCCCAGAAGCCUUGUCUUCUCCUCUUCUCCCAGAUGUGCUUGGGGAAGGCUAGGCCCAGGGAGGCCCCUGGGCCAGCAUGCUCUCCUGAACCGGCACAGAGGCCUGAUUGGGGUGGAUGAGAUGUCAGGGCAGGAUAGUGGUGGAAUUGGAGGGACGUUGAGAGACAAAUUCAGAAAUAUCUGGAUAUUGGAACGUUCCACCUGAACAUCUCAAAGCUCCUUUCCAAAGCAGUUUCUGAUUAGCAAAUGUAGAGACAGAGGUCCAGGAUGUGUAGGAUUGGGUGAGUUCCCAGCCUGGCCAUAGCUGGCUCCUGGAAUAAUCCACUUAAAACAAGCCCCACUAGACUCUGGAAUAUAAUGUAGUAUAAUAUGAAAUGAUAUGAUGUGACAUAGAUCAUUAUUAUUACUGUGGAUGCUGUUAACUGAGCUCUGGUCAACAGGGCAUUUAUGAAAAGCCCUGGGUCUACCUCAUGUGCAGCUCCCUAUGCUUCUCUUGUCUUCUAGAAGUUUUGUUGUAACUCUCUGGGGGCAAAGGCAAUGCCUUCAUUUCUCUUCUUCUUCCCAUGACUCUAGAACAAAUUGGCCCUCAGGAAUCCCAGGGUCCAGGCUUUAUGGUGCACUGUGUGUGUGUGUGUCCGCUUUGGGCAGCUGAUUGUCAUUGGAUUUCAGAAAGACAACUCUGGCCACUGUACAAUGGCUCCGGGGUGGAGGAACUUGAGGAGAUGUAACAAAUGAGAUGAGGAGUGAGGGGAGUCUGACCCGGGCCGGCUUGUGCUGGGGAGAUGAGUUCUCAGGUCUCAGGGCCGGAUGGCCAUGGGGCAUGGAAGCCUCAAGUUCCAAGGACUAGAUAGUGGCAGCUGUUCCUGUUCCUGUUCCUGGCAGGAAACUUAGAAUGAGGAGCAGCCCCCCAGGAGAAGAUAGCAAGUGGAAUUUGGAAUGAUUUUCUUUCUGAAGAUUACUAAGAACUCAAGGUCGUUAUGGUAAACUGAGGGCCAAGAAGAGACAGAUAGGAUUUCCUAAAAGGGUUGCAAUGCUGGGUCCCCAUGUCUACUUUCAGCCAAGGGCAGGGUGUGCUCCUGCUAGGUGAGGCCACGCUCAUUCUGAACACCUGCCAGGGCCCAGCCCUGGGCUAGGGAGAAGGCAGGACUACCUGGUAGUACAAAUGGCAACAGACUCAGAAGAGGAAAAGCUCAAGUUGGCUCUAAAAUAUCUCAUGCAAAACACUCAGAUGUCAACUGGACUCACUACCUUGAAUUUGUGUUUUCUUCAGGUAGCCUAUCAGUCCCUCCCCUGGUCUUUUAUCUUAAAUUUUUAAAGAGUGAUUAAUAUAUCCCCCCACCCCCCACAAGGUCCUGGCACUUAACGUGAGGUUAAAAACUUAAAUAACUUUCCUAUCAAAGGACGGUCAAUGGUAACUGGAUAUUGAAUACUCUGUUUUUGGGGGUCAUUUUCCUAUUUUUAAAAAUUUUUAUUUUUUAAUAUUUACUUUUUAGUUAUAGGUGGACACAACAUCUUUAUUUUAUUUUUAUGUGGUGUUGCGGAUCGAACCCAGUGCCUCACACAUGCUAUGCAAGCCUCUGAGCCACAACCCCAGCCCCCCUAUUUUAUUUUUUAAUUAUACUUUCUAGUAUAGUGAUUCUGGGUCCAGAGCCUGGGGUCAGAUCCCAACUCAACCACUUGCCAGUGUGUGCCGUUGGGCAGAUGUCCUUAAGCUUUCUAGGCCUCAGUUUAUCACCUGCAGAAUGGGGCCAAUAACAUGAAGAGCACGGCACUAUGUGAAGAUCAGAUGAGUUCAGGCAUGUACUUGCUUAGUAGCUAGCACAGGUCCAUAUUACAGGACAACUGGGGGUUUCCCAAUCUUCCCUGCUUCAGUCUUAGGGUUCUUCUUGGGAAGCCCUCUGGGUUUUCUGUUCUGUUAGUCCUGUACAGGAUGUUGGAUCCGUUUCUUGAUCCUUAAGGAUGAAAUCCUUCAAAGAGAUAAGGAUGGUCUAUGCCAAGAUUUGGAUCUUGAAUAUCCCCCCAAAGGAAAGGCCCAUGUGUUAAAGGCUUGGUCCUUGGCCUGUAACUCUGGGAUAGAGUGCUUGCCUAGGACGGGUAAGGCACUGGGUUUGUUCCCUGGCACCACAUAAAAAUAAACAAAUAAAAUAGAGGUGUUGUGUCCAUCUACAACUAAAACAGUAUUAAAAAAUAAAAGGGCUCAGUUGGUAGAGUGCUUGCCUCACAUGCAAAAGGAAAGCCCUGGGUUCAAUCCCUAGCACUGCGGAAAAACAAAACAAAACAAAACAAAACAAAAAACUCAGGUAAAGCCCAGCAGGAGGCCUUAGAUCCAUGGGGCAUACCCUCAAAGGAAGGGCAUUUUGGGAUUCUGCCCUUUCCACUGUUUACUUCCCAUCCAUCACGAGGUAAGCAGCUUCCUCUACUCUUGCUUCCAGUGCAAUGAACUGCCUCACCACAGGCCCAAAAGCAAUGAACAGGGACAAACAAACCAUGGACUGAAACCUCCGAAGCUAUGAGCUAAAAUAAAUCUUUCCUCUCCAAGUGUUUUGUUAUAGUCAUGGAAAGCUGACUAACACAUUCUGACAACUCAUUGUUCCUACUCUUCCAUCUGAGAUGCUUGUACUUGGACCAUGUGUCCUCAACAUUGGCAUUUCUUAAAUCAGUUAACAAAAAACUGAUGGACAGAUAUAGAGUAGCUAAUUAUUUUGGCUAGUAGAAAUAAUAAAGAACCAUCCUUAUAUCUCAUAGACACAUAAGCACCAAAAAUGUUGAAGGGGUACAGGACAUUGAUUAUUUUGACCACUAAAAUAUCAUUCACCUGCUUCAAGUAAUUGCCCCCAAUUUUUUGACGUGUCCUUCUCUCUCCCCAAGUCAUCCCCUGAUUCAGAGCUAAAGCAAGUGACAGGUGUAAGUCAAUCAUGGCUGCUUGUUCCUCUGUCCCCAGAAAUUGGGCAUGUGGCUCAACCAGAAGCAACGAGGCACAAAGAGCAUUUCUGGGGUUCUGAGAGAGAAGUGGUUGUUUCUUCCCUCUAUUCUUAUUAUAUGGAGCCCAAGACCUCAUGGAGAAAGGCAGAGUUAAAAGAUGAAGAUAGCUGGGUGCGGUGGCGCAUGCCUGUAAUCCCAGAGGCUCGGGAGGCUGAGGCAGGAGGACCACAAGUUCAAAGCCAGCUUAGCAACUUAGCAAGGCCCUAAGCAAUUUAGUGAGACCCUGUCUCUAAAUAAAAAAAUAAAAAUGGCUGGGAUGUGGCUCAGUGAUUAAGCGCCUCUGGGUUCAGUCUCUAGUACAAAAAUAAAUAAAUAAAUAAAUAAAGAUGAAGACAGUAUUUGAGCUCUAAGUCCAACCACACCUGAAGUUCCUGUUUUUUAUUUUAAAAUACCCUUAAAAUUUUUUUUAGUUGUAGACACAAUACCUUCAUUUUAUUUAUUUACCUUUAUGUGAUGCUGAGGAUUGAACCUAGUGUUUCACAUGUGCUAGGCAAGUGCUGUACCACUGAGUCACAAACCCAGCCCAUAAAAAUACCCUUUUUAUUUUAGAAUAGUUUUAGGUUUACAGAAACGCUGAAAAUGUUAACAGAGUGUUCUCAUAUAUUCUACAUCCAGUUUCUCUUAUUAACAUCUUACAUUAGUAUGAUACAUUUGUGACUUAAUGAAGUCAAUUAAUGAAUUUGUCAAUUAAUGAAGUGAUAUUAGUAUACUAUUAUUAAACAAAGUCCAUAUUUUAUUCAUGAUUUUUCUUAGUUUUUCCCCUAAUGCCCUUUUUCUGUUCCAAGAUCCCAUCCAGGACACACAUUACAUUUAGUCAUCAUGUUUCUUUGGGUUCCUUUUGGUUGUGACAGUUUCUCAAACUUUCCUUGUUUUUGGCAACAUUGGCAGUUUUAAUGAGUACUGGGAUUUUGUAGAAUACCCUUCAAUUGGGAUUUAUAUUUUUUCCCCUCAUAAUUAGAUGGUCUAUAUGGAGGAAGACCACGAAAUAAGGUGUUACUCUCAUCUCAUAAUAUCACACCAUACUGUCUAGGGAAAAUGCUAUCAGAAUGACCUAUCCCUGUUGACAUUGACCUUGAGCACCCGGCUAAGGUAAGGUUCAUGAAGUUUCUCCUAUGUAAUGUGACUCCUUUAUGGCCCCUUCCUUACUGUACUUUUUGGAAGAAAAUCAGCAUGUACAUCCUGUUCUUAGUCAGUGGGAAUCAUAUUUUUUUCCCUUAAAUUAUUUGCUAUGCUUCUGAGUGAUAGGUUUUUUUUUUCCUAUACUGAUUCAUUCAGUUGUUUAUGUAAGUAUAAACUCCUGGAUUUUUUUUUUAAAUACUUGGGGUUAUUUUCCAAUACUACUUUAUUUUGUUGCUCAAAUUGUUCCAGUUUUGAGCACCAGGAGGUCUUUCAGUUGGCUCCUAUGUCCUUUUGACAUACCCCCAUCUAGUGAUCAUCUGGAUUUUCCAGUUGACAUGAGCUAUCGAAUCCUUUCUAGUCUAAGUCAGUUUAGAUCAAGGUUGUUACUUGUAACCAAAAGAUCCUUAAAGGAAGAAAAGUCUUUAGAUGGCAUUAUUUGUUGCAAAUUUCAAGUUGUCCACAUUUUUCUUAUGUCAAUACAGCUAAAUGACAAUUUUACACUGGAAAGCACACAUCCUCCCCCAGGCUGUGGUGACCACUUUGUUGCGCUCUACAAUAAGUAGCAGGAGGCUGGGGACAUUAUAGGUGUGUGUGGUUCAACUUCAAACCUUCUGAUCUUAGCAGGUCACUUAAUUUCUGGGCUAUAGAAGAGGUGCUGGGAUUGAAGGAGAUUAGGAGAUAUCACAUUAUUGUGUUGUGAUCUGGAGGCCUAGUCUAUGCCCUGAUCUGUUGAACUGACUUCUGGAGAGUGUAACAGAGCUCCCAAAUUAGGGUUGCCAGAUAAAAUAUAUUACACUCAGUUAACCUAGAAUUUCAUAUAAGUAAUGAAGAAUUUUUAGUAUGUCUCAAAUACUGCAUGGGAGUAUACUUAUACUGAACAUUAUUAAUUGUUUAUCUGAAAUUCAGAGGAAUUUAUAUUUUUAUUUACUAAAUCUAGAAAUCCUAACUCAAAUACUCUCCCCUUUUUAGGUUUCUUAGGGCAUACACUCCAGGGAAAAUGACUCUGCAACUUCAGCUUCAUGAAUAGGGGAACCUGAGUCCCAUGCUGUCCAGGAAGAGCAGGACUUUGUGGUCAAACUCUCAUGAGGUCAAUUCUCUGCUCUACCAAUUCCGGCAAGUUGCUUAACCAUUUGACUCAGUUUUUGUACUUGGUUGUGCAAUGAGUUGAUAAUUCACAGAUGCCAUUAUUACACUUUGCAGGGUCUGACACCUAGUGGCAUACUCCGUCAAUGGUGGCUGCUACUGACAGCACUCUUAUCUGGACAGAUGUACAGGAAGUCCCGAGAAGGCAAGAGAAAGGGGAUCACAGCAAGGCUUCCUCACCCCCAACCCUGUCCCCUUCUUGAGUAGGUGGGAAUGCCAAAUUCCAGAAGCAGAGGCUGGAGAGUAUACGGGGUGUGAAGCAAUCUAUGAGGAUCCCUCUGGGGCCUGGGCUCUUUAUUGGAGCUCAGCAUCUCAGCCAGUGUCUAUUUUCUGAGGGGCUGAGGUUGAAGGGAGGACCCUGUGCUGAUAAUGGCUUGGAAGGGGUUAGUCCUGGAAGACGAAAAAGAAAACAAGUUUUUAAUCCUUUUUAAAAAUUUUUGGUAACAGGGAGCCACAUGCCCAGACUUUUUUUUUUUUUUUGGUAUUGGGGAUUUAACCCAGGACACUCUACUACUGAGUGACAUCCUCAGCCCUUUUUUUAAAUUUUGAAUCAAUGUCUCCCAAGUUGCUGAGGCUAGUUUUGAACUUUUGAUCCUCCUGCCUCAGCCUCCCAAGUCGCUGAGAUUAUAGGUUAGUGCCACCGCCUGCUUCACCUUAUUCUUUACAAGCUGGUCAGACAGGCACACAAAAUGACAGCUACAUUUACUGAGCCCUUAGUAUGUACUGGGCAGUUUUAUGUACUUUUUUUACAUUUUACUUCAUUUAAUCCUCACAAAUCCCCAGGUUAUAGGCAAAGAAACUGAGGCACAGAGGGACUAGGAAAUUUGUCCACCAUCUACAGUUAACAAAUGGGAUAGCCAGACAUUAGUGUCCUAGUCACACCCUCAGGACUUCAAACUAUUUCAUUUAGUUUUCUCAACAAUCCUCUGAGGCCAGUGUGAUUGUAUCUUCUUUGUGUAGCUGAGGACUCUGAGGUUUAUACAAUUUGCCCAAGGCCAUAAUUCACAGGGGCCUUGAUUCACUUGUGAAUUUCCAGCUUGCAGGUGCCUGGAGGUGUCAGGCAGGGGAGGGGGAGGCCAAAGAUGACCUUUCACCUCCGUGGCAGCCCUAGGAAGAAGUAGAAGCGCCUGCUUUAUGCCUUUGAUUUAUAAGGGGGGCAGGGGUUCAGACCCAGCUGUCAACUUGGAAGCCACUUGAGGAUUCUAUUUAAAAAAUUGCCUUGUACUUAUAAUAGUGGAGGGAAAACAACCACCACCACCCAAGCAAACAGGAAAACAACCUCAAAGUCCAAAAAUGGGGGAACAAGUUAAAUCAAUUAUGGUAUAAGCCCAAGAUGGUGUAUUUUGCAGCUGUUUAAAAAUACCACAUUUUCAAAGACUAUUAGCAUAAGAAAAUGCCUCCAGAUAUAAAUAAAAGCAGGAGAUAGAACUAUAAACACAAUGUGAUCCC
This 26714-nucleotide long non-coding RNA is filed under the name Marmota monax (woodchuck). The record is from RNAcentral. Lineage: Eukaryota; Metazoa; Chordata; Mammalia; Rodentia; Sciuridae.